GGGUCCAUAUCUCAGUGGUAGAGCAAUUGACUGCAGAUCAAUAGGUCACCGGUUCGAACCGGGUUGGGCCCU
This 72-nucleotide transfer RNA is filed under the name Triticum aestivum (bread wheat). It matches the Rfam family "tRNA". From Rfam's summary of the family: Transfer RNA (tRNA) molecules are approximately 80 nucleotides in length. Their secondary structure includes four short double-helical elements and three loops (D, anti-codon, and T loops). Lineage: Eukaryota; Viridiplantae; Streptophyta; Magnoliopsida; Poales; Poaceae. The record is from Rfam by way of RNAcentral. RNAcentral also lists the same sequence under 1 other name.